RNAcentral lists this ribosomal RNA (1324 nucleotides) under metagenome. RNAcentral describes it as "bacterial LSU rRNA". It matches the Rfam family "Bacterial large subunit ribosomal RNA", at positions 1561 to 2925 of the family's 2925-position model. The record is from RNAcentral.
AGUGGAUGGGGAGCAACCUAGUUGUGCGUGUGUAAAGGUAGUGCCAAGAAAAGCGAUGAUCAUGUUGAAAAUCAAUUCCCGGUACCCGAAACCGACACAGGUGGGCAAGUAGAGAAUACUAAGGGGCGCGAGGUAACUCUCUCCAAGGAACUCGGCAAAAUGACCCCGUAACUUAGGGAGAAGGGGUGCCACCGAGAGGUGGUCGCAGUGAAGAGGCCCAGGCGACUGUUUAGCAAAAACAUAGGUCUCUGCAAACUCGAAAGAGGAGGUAUAGGGGCUGACGCCUGCCCAGUGCCGGAAGGUUAAAGAAGUUGGUCAGUUUUAGGAUGAAGCUAGCGACUGAAGCCCCGGUGAACGGCGGCCGUAACUAUAACGGUCCUAAGGUAGCGAAAUUCCUUGUCGGGUAAGUUCCGACCCGCACGAAAGGCGUAACGAUCUGGGCGCUGUCUCGGAGAGAGGCUCGGCGAAAUAGGAUUGUCUGUGAAGAUACGGACUACCUGCAUUUGGACAGAAAGACCCUAUGAAGCUUUACUAUAGCUUGGAAUUGUGUUCGGGCUUCCUGUGCGCAGGAUAGGUGGGAGGCGAAGAAGGUAUUCUUGUGGGGAUACUGGAGCCAACGGUGAGAUACCACUCUCAGGAGGCUAGAAUUCUAACUUAAUUAAGGACAGUUUCAGGUGGGUAGUUUGACUGGGGCGGUCGCCUCCAAAAAGGUAACGGAGGCGUACAAAGGUUCCCUCAGACUGGUUGGAAAUCAGUCGCAGAGUGCAAAGGCAGAAGGGAGCUUGACUGCGAGAAGUACAGUUCGAGCAGGGUGGAAACACGGUCUUAGUGAUCCGACGGUGCUGUGUGGAAGGGCCGUCGCUCAACGGAUAAAAGUUACUCUAGGAUAACAGGCUGAUCUCCCCCAAGAGUUCACAUCGACGGGGAGGUUUGGCACCUCGAUGUCGGCUCAUCGCAACCUGGGGCGGAAGUACGUCCCAAGGGUUGGGCUGUUCGCCCAUUAAAGCGGUACGUGAGCUGGGUUCAGAACGUCGUGAGACAGUUCGGUCCAUAUCCGAUGUAGGCGUGAGAAUAUUGAGAGGAGCCUUCCUUAGUACGAGAGGACCGGGAAGGACGCACCGCUGGUGUACCUGUUAUGAUGCCAAUUGUAAACGCAGGGUAGCCAAGUGCGGAGAGGAUAACCGCUGAAAGCAUCUAAGUGGGAAGCCCACCUCAAGAUGAGUAUUCUGGUGUAAGGUCACGGGAAGACGACCCGUAAAUAGGCACGAGGUGGAAGUGCAGAGAUGUAUGAAGCCGAAGUGUACUAAUAGACCGUCGGCUUGAC